Molecule: long non-coding RNA, 292 nt
Organism: Mauremys mutica (yellowpond turtle)
Lineage: Eukaryota; Metazoa; Chordata; Testudines; Geoemydidae
Exons: 3
Source: RefSeq, a predicted model, not a curated record
AUCUCUUUCUCAGAUACUGCAGAUGAUUUGGAUGCUACGGUGUUUUCUCCUCAUUGCUCCAGACUGCUGAUUUGUAAGUCUCUCAGCAUGCUUUAGAAGAUUCUCUUAAAGGCAGAACUGAAAGUUCCUUUAUAAAAAUCCAACCCUCAUGCUGUGAUCAUCAGCGUUAAAUGCACUGAUGUGACGCAACGGGGAAGCAAUUAUAAUUCGAACAGGUUGGCUGCUUUCGUUUGUGCCAGAAACCUACUACCAACUGCUGCUGAACCAAAAUGCAGGAAGCCCCAUGCAGAAA